AAGCCAUGAUGAGGACAUUGAGAGAUGUAGCUGUUGAACCUUUCUCAUGCUUCUUGCACUCAUUCCAUGUGGUGAUUGGAUCUCUUGAAAGGCUCUUCUCCCAUGUGUGAGCUU
This 114-nucleotide small nucleolar RNA is filed under the name Brassica napus (rape). Its description in RNAcentral is "Plant small nucleolar RNA R71". It matches the Rfam family "Plant small nucleolar RNA R71". From Rfam's summary of the family: R71 is a member of the C/D box family of snoRNAs containing the C (UGAUGA) and D (CUGA) box motifs. Multiple nearly identical copies of this snoRNA have been identified in Arabidopsis, and it is thought to function as a 2'-O-ribose methylation guide for 18S ribosomal RNA. RNAcentral also lists the same sequence under 1 other name. The record is from Rfam by way of RNAcentral. Lineage: Eukaryota; Viridiplantae; Streptophyta; Magnoliopsida; Brassicales; Brassicaceae.